RNAcentral lists this ribosomal RNA (520 nucleotides) under uncultured bacterium. RNAcentral's name for it is "bacterial SSU rRNA". It matches the Rfam family "Bacterial small subunit ribosomal RNA", at positions 28 to 504 of the family's 1533-position model. The record is from RNAcentral.
GAUGAACGCCGGCGGUGUGCCUAAUACAUGCAAGUCGUACGCACUGGCCCAACUAAUUGAUGGUGCUUGCACCCGAUUGACGAUGGAUCACCAGUGAGUGGCGGACGGGUGAGUAACACGUAGGUAACCUGCCCCGGAGCGGGGGAUAACAUUUGGAAACAGAUGCUAAUACCGCAUAACAACAAAAGCCGCAUGGCUUUUGUUUGAAAGAUGGCUUUGGCUAUCACUCUGGGAUGGACCUGCGGUGCAUUAGCUAGUUGGUAAGGUAACGGCUUACCAAGGCGAUGACGCAUAGCCGAGUUGAGAGACUGAUCGGCCACAAUGGAACUGAGACACGGUCCAUACUCCUACGGGAGGCAGCAGUAGGGAAUCUUCCACAAUGGGCGCAAGCCUGAUGGAGCAACACCGCGUGAGUGAAGAAGGGUUUCGGCUCGUAAGGCUCUGUUGUUGGAGAAGAACGUGCGUGAGAGUAACUGUUCACGCAGUGACGGUAUCCAACCAGAAAGUCGCGGCUAACUAC